CAGUCGCCGCGGUAAUACAGAGGGUGCGAGCGUUAAUCGGAUUUACUGGGCGUAAAGCGUGCGUAGGCGGCUUUUUAAGUCGGAUGUGAAAUCCCUGAGCUUAACUUAGGAAUUGCAUUCGAUACUGGGAAGCUAGAGUAUGGGAGAGGAUGGUAGAAUUCCAGGUGUAGCGGUGAAAUGCGUAGAGAUCUGGAGGAAUACCGAUGGCGAAGGCAGCCAUCUGGCCUAACACUGACGCUGAGGUACGAAAGCAUGGGGAGCAAACAGGAUUAGAUACCCCCGUAGUCCCUGUCUCUUAUAC
RNAcentral lists this ribosomal RNA (301 nucleotides) under uncultured bacterium. Its description in RNAcentral is "partial 16S ribosomal RNA". It matches the Rfam family "Bacterial small subunit ribosomal RNA", at positions 509 to 807 of the family's 1533-position model. The record is from RNAcentral.